UGCAAGUCGAACGAGAGAAUUGCUAGCUUGCUAAUAAUUCUCUAGUGGCGCACGGGUGAGUAACACGUGAGUAACCUGCCCCCGAGAGCGGGAUAGCCCUGGGAAACUGGGAUUAAUACCGCAUAGUAUCGAAAGAUUAAAGCAGCAAUGCGCUUGGGGAUGGGCUCGCGGCCUAUUAGUUAGUUGGUGAGGUAACGGCUCACCAAGGCGAUGACGGGUAGCCGGUCUGAGAGGAUGUCCAGCCACACUGGAACUGAGACACGGUCCAGACACCUACGGGUGGCAGCAGUCGAGAAUCAUUCACAAUGGGGGAAACCCUGAUGGUGCGACGCCGCGUGGGGGAAUGAAGGUCUUCGGAUUGUAAACCCCUGUCAUGUGGGAGCAAAUUAAAAAGAUAGUACCACAAGAGGAAGAGACGGCUAACUCUGUGCCAGCAGCCGCGGUAAUACAGAGGUCUCAAGCGUUGUUCGGAAUCACUGGGCGUAAAGCGUGCGUAGGCUGUUUCGUAAGUCGUGUGUGAAAGGCGCGGGCUCAACCCGCGGACGGCACAUGAUACUGCGAGACUAGAGUAAUGGAGGGGGAACCGGAAUUCUCGGUGUAGCAGUGAAAUGCGUAGAUAUCGAGAGGAACACUCGUGGCGAAGGCGGGUUCCUGGACAUUAACUGACGCUGAGGCACGAAGGCCAGGGGAGCGAAAGGGAUUAGAUACCCCUGUAGUCCUGGCAGUAAACGGUGCACGCUUGGUGUGCGGGGAAUCGACCCCCUGCGUGCCGGAGCUAACGCGUUAAGCGUGCCGCC
This 797-nucleotide ribosomal RNA is filed under the name uncultured bacterium. Its description in RNAcentral is "bacterial SSU rRNA". It matches the Rfam family "Bacterial small subunit ribosomal RNA", at positions 56 to 873 of the family's 1533-position model. The record is from RNAcentral.